Molecule: long non-coding RNA, 882 nt
Organism: Hypanus sabinus (Atlantic stingray)
Lineage: Eukaryota; Metazoa; Chordata; Chondrichthyes; Myliobatiformes; Dasyatidae
Exons: 3
Source: RefSeq, a predicted model, not a curated record
GUGAGGUACUUCUCACUUCCCUUCCUGAUUCUGGAAAAUCGGUAUCUCCAGCUAGAGACCAGGUUGUAACUAGCAGAAUGGAUAAGAGAAAACUAGUUGCAUUUGAAUUUAAAAGGCUUCAAUAAGCACAAAGGUAAAUUAAAGAUAGAACAGCAGCGAGUGGUGUCACAGCAGCAACCUUGCACUCAAUGUCAGUAAGUUGAAAGAGCUGAUUGUGGACUUCAGGAAGGGUAAGAUGAAGGAACACAUCCCAAUCCUCAUAGAGAGAUCAGAAAUGGCAAGAGUGAGCAGUUUCAAGUUCCUGGGUGUCAAGAUCUCUGAGGACCUAAUCCGGUUCCAACAUAUUGAUGCAGCUAUAAAGAAGGCAAGAGAGCGUCUAUACUUCAUUCGGCGUUUGGUCAACAAAAACACUCAAAAAUUUCUAUAGAUGCACCGUGAAGAGCAUUCUAACAGGCUGCAUCACUGUCUGGUAUGGGUGGGGGGGGGGGGGCUAUUGCACAGGACUGAAAGGAGCUUCAAAGGGUCAUAAAUUUAGUGGGCCCCAUUUUGGGUACUAGCCUACAAAGAACCAGGACCUCUUCAGGAGCGGUGACUCAGAAAGGCAACAUCCAUCAUUAAGCACCCCCCCAGCAUCCAGGACAUGCCAUUUUCUCAUUAUUACCAUCACCUGAAGGCACAUACUCAGCGGUUCAUGAAACCUGUGAACCCCACCUCACUUUUCUAAUAUAUAUUAUUUCUGUUUUUGCACGAUUUUUAAUCUAUUCUAUAUAUAUAUUUUUAGUAAUUCAUUUACUUACUUUUAUGUUUUUCUAUAUUAUGUAUUGCAUUGAACUGCUGUAAGUUAACAGAUUUCACAACACAUGCCACUAUAAUAAACCUGAU